AUGGAACCAGGAAACCAAACCAGUGCAUCUCAAUUCAUCCUCCUGGGACUGUCAGAAAAGCCGGAGCAGGAAACACUUCUCUUUUCUCUGUUCCUCUGCAUGUACCUGGUACAGUCCUGGGGAACCUGCUCAUCAUCCUGGCCAUCAGCAUAGACUCCCACUUCCACACCCCCAUGUACUUCUUCCUGGCCAACCUGUCCCUGAUUGAUUUCUGUCUGGCCACCAACACCAUCCCCAAGAUGCUGGUGAGCCUUCAAACCGGAAGCAAGGCCAUCUCUUAUCCCUGA
This 287-nucleotide long non-coding RNA is filed under the name Homo sapiens (human). RNAcentral describes it as "non-protein coding lnc-OR7G2-1:1". Lineage: Eukaryota; Metazoa; Chordata; Mammalia; Primates; Hominidae. The record is from RNAcentral.